UACGGGGGGAGCAAGCGUUGUUCGGAUUUACUGGGCGUAAAGGGCGCGUAGGCGGUCAGCACAAGUCAGUUGUGAAAUCUCCGGGCUUAACUCGGAAAGGUCAACUGAUACUGUGCGACUAGAGUGCAGAAGGGGCAACUGGAAUUCUCGGUGUAGCGGUGAAAUGCGUAGAUAUGCGGAGGAACACCGAUGGCGAAGGCAGCCCCCUGGGCUAGCACUGACGCUCAGGCACGAAAGCGUGGGGAGCAAACAGG
This 254-nucleotide ribosomal RNA is filed under the name uncultured bacterium. Its description in RNAcentral is "partial 16S ribosomal RNA". It matches the Rfam family "Bacterial small subunit ribosomal RNA", at positions 524 to 776 of the family's 1533-position model. The record is from RNAcentral.